AAAAUGUCUCCGCACCUAAAAUUAAUAAAAAUAAAAAUAAAAAUCAGUCCCUAUAUAAUACUAGCCAAACAAAGUAAGCAUAAAAAUUGAAUAUUACAAAAAUAUAAGAAAGAAAUUAAGAAAAUAUUAAGGCAGCGUUUGGUAACACUCUUAAGAUCAAUUUUUUGUUCUUUAUUCCAUUUGGGAACAGACAAAAAUGGAAUAAAGUGUUCUGCAAAACUGAUUUGUUUUUGCUGUGCCCAAGAAACAAACCAGAGCUAAAAUCAAGUUGAAGAACUCCAUUGUUUAUUUGUUCAAUCUCCUCUUGGCAAAGAACUCCACACUCUAUCGCUCUCUCUUCGUUUCAAGUAGAAGAACUCCAUCGUUCAAUCUCCUUUUGGAAAGAAAUCCAAACUCCAUCGUUCUCUCUCCGGGUAAAAAGAUCUCAAGGUACAGAAAGGGGAUUUUCGUUCACAGAGUGCCUCUUCCUUCAAAUCACUCUACAUCCUUUCAAUUGAAGGUACCCAUAGCUGUUUGCAAAAAUGAUUGAACCCCAAUUUCAGGUAUGUUCACUGUAUUACCUCAAAUUUCUCUAUUGAAUCUCCCAAAUUGAUGGGUAA
Long non-coding RNA from Macadamia integrifolia, 599 nucleotides. RefSeq lists it as uncharacterized. NCBI's taxonomy places the organism in Eukaryota, Viridiplantae, Streptophyta, Magnoliopsida, Proteales, Proteaceae. The record is from RefSeq and is a predicted model, not a curated record. The transcript is spliced from 2 exons.